This 414-nucleotide non-coding RNA is filed under the name Ipomoea nil (Japanese morning glory). RNAcentral describes it as "Eukaryotic large subunit ribosomal RNA". It matches the Rfam family "Eukaryotic large subunit ribosomal RNA", at positions 1894 to 2182 of the family's 3401-position model. Lineage: Eukaryota; Viridiplantae; Streptophyta; Magnoliopsida; Solanales; Convolvulaceae. The record is from Rfam by way of RNAcentral.
AGCAAUGUAGGCAAGGGAAGUCGGCAAAAUGGAUCCGUAACUUCGGGAAAAGGAUUGGCUCUGAGGGCUGACUCUAGGCACUUGAGAGGUGGGGUCCCAGUCCCGAAGGCCGUCGGCUGUUCGGCGGACUGCUCGAGCUGCUACCGCGGCGAGAGCAGGUCGCCGCGUGACCUUCGAAUUCGGCUAGAGGUGUCGGGGGACGGACUGGGAACGGCUCUUUCGGGGGCCUUCCCGGGCGUCGAACAGCCAACUCAGAACUGGUACGGACAACUGAACGGGAAUCCGACUGUUUAAUUGGCCCCAAAAACAAAGCAUUGCGAUCUCGAGGGCUUCUCCACCUUCACCCGAUGGCGAGACGGACUCACAACCAAUGUGAGCGGCGAGAUGGGAAUUCAAGGUUACCUUUCGUACUAU